This 429-nucleotide ribosomal RNA is filed under the name Chloroflexota bacterium. RNAcentral describes it as "Chloroflexi bacterium partial 16S ribosomal RNA". It matches the Rfam family "Bacterial small subunit ribosomal RNA", at positions 355 to 776 of the family's 1533-position model. The record is from RNAcentral. Lineage: Bacteria; Bacillati; Chloroflexota.
UGGGGAAUAUUGCACAAUGGGCGCAAGCCUGAUGCAGCCAUGCCGCGUGUAUGAAGAAGGCCUUCGGGUUGUAAAGUACUUUCAGUCGGGAGGAAGGUGGUAAGGUUAAUAACCUUAUCAAUUGACGUUACCGACAGAAGAAGCACCGGCUAACUCCGUGCCAGCAGCCGCGGUAAUACGGAGGGUGCAAGCGUUAAUCGGAAUUACUGGGCGUAAAGCGCACGCAGGCGGUUUGUUAAGUCAGAUGUGAAAUCCCCGGGCUCAACCUGGGAACGGCAUCUGAUACUGGCAAGCUUGAGUCUCGUAGAGGGGGGUAGAAUUCCAGGUGUAGCGGUGAAAUGCGUAGAGAUCUGGAGGAAUACCGGUGGCGAAGGCGGCCCCCUGGACGAAGACUGACGCUCAGGUGCGAAAGCGUGGGGAGCAAACAGG